Molecule: ribosomal RNA, 439 nt
Filed under: uncultured bacterium
Lineage: Bacteria
Description: bacterial SSU rRNA
Rfam family: Bacterial small subunit ribosomal RNA
Source: RNAcentral
UCGAGGAUCUUCGGCAAUGGGCGCAAGCCUGACCGAGCGACGCCGCGUGCGCGAUGAAGGCCUUCGGGUUGUAAAGCGCUGUCGAGGGGGAGGAAGUUCGCCGUAAGGCGAAUUGACCUAUCCCUGGAGGAAGCACGGGCUAAGUUCGUGCCAGCAGCCGCGGUAAGACGAACCGUGCAAACGUUGUUCGGAAUCACUGGGCUUAAAGGGCGCGUAGGCGGACGACCAAGUCAGGGGUGAAAUCUUUCGGCUCAACCGGAAAACAGCCUUUGAUACUGGACGUCUCGAGGGAGGUAGGGGCAUGUGGAACUUCCGGUGGAGCGGUGAAAUGCGUUGAUAUCGGAAGGAACGCCGGUGGCGAAAGCGACGUGCUGGACCUCUUCUGACGCUGAGGCGCGAAAGCUAGGGGAGCGAACGGGAUUAGAUACCCCUGUAGUCC